RNAcentral lists this signal recognition particle RNA (99 nucleotides) under Lentisphaerae bacterium GWF2_38_69. Its description in RNAcentral is "signal recognition particle sRNA small type". It matches the Rfam family "Bacterial small signal recognition particle RNA". From Rfam's summary of the family: The signal recognition particle (SRP) is a universally conserved ribonucleoprotein involved in the co-translational targeting of proteins to membranes. The record is from RNAcentral. Lineage: Bacteria; Pseudomonadati; Lentisphaerota. RNAcentral also lists the same sequence under 1 other name.
AUUCGGACCCUAUGCAUUGGAUUUUCGUUAAUCGGGUCAGAUGAGGAAUCAAGCAGCCCUACAUGUUAAAGACAAGUGCCGUAGGUGCAUCUGAUAAUC